Molecule: ribosomal RNA, 253 nt
Filed under: uncultured bacterium
Lineage: Bacteria
Description: partial 16S ribosomal RNA
Rfam family: Bacterial small subunit ribosomal RNA
Source: RNAcentral
UACGGAGGGGCCUAGCGUUGCUCGGAAUCACUGGGCGUAAAGGGUGCGUAGGCGGGUUUUUAAGUCAGGGGGGAAAUCCUGGAGCUCAACUCCAGAACUGCCUUUGAUACUGAAGAUCUUGAGUCCGGGAGAGGUGAGUGGAACUGCGAGUGUAGAGGUGAAAUUCGUAGAUAUUCGCAAGAACACCAGUGGCGAAGGCGGCUCACUGGCCCGGUACUGACGCUGAGGCACGAAAGCGUGGGGAGCAAACAGG